This 561-nucleotide ribosomal RNA is filed under the name uncultured fungus. RNAcentral describes it as "eukaryotic LSU rRNA". It matches the Rfam family "Eukaryotic large subunit ribosomal RNA", at positions 55 to 640 of the family's 3401-position model. The record is from RNAcentral. Lineage: Eukaryota; Fungi.
GGAAAAGAAACCAACAGGGAUUGCCCCAGUAACGGCGAGUGAAGCGGCAACAGCUCAAAUUUGAAAUCUGGCCCCAGGCCCGAGUUGUAAUUUGCAGAGGAUGCUUUUGGCGCGGUGCCUUCCGAGUUCCCUGGAACGGGACGCCAUAGAGGGUGAGAGCCCCGUACGGUUGGACACCAAGCCUUUGUAAAGCUCCUUCGACGAGUCGAGUAGUUUGGGAAUGCUGCUCUAAAUGGGAGGUACAUUUCUUCUAAAGCUAAAUAUUGGCCAGAGACCGAUAGCGCACAAGUAGAGUGAUCGAAAGAUGAAAAGCACUUUGAAAAGAGGGUUAAACAGCACGUGAAAUUGUUAAAAGGGAAGCGCUUGUGACCAGACUUGCGUCCGGUGAAUCACCCAGCUCUCGCGGCUGGGGCACUUCGCCGGCACAGGCCAGCAUCAGCUUGCCGUCGGGGACAAAAGCUUCAGGAACGUGGCUCCUCUCGGGGAGUGUUAUAGCCUGUUGCACAAUACCCUUCGGCGGGCUGAGGUACGCGCUCCGCAAGGAUGCUGGCGUAAUGGUCA